This 216-nucleotide ribosomal RNA is filed under the name Glomeromycotina sp. RNAcentral describes it as "partial small subunit ribosomal RNA". The stretch from base 40 to 216 matches the Rfam family "Eukaryotic small subunit ribosomal RNA", at positions 686 to 864 of the family's 1831-position model. Lineage: Eukaryota; Fungi; Glomeromycota. The record is from RNAcentral.
GGGUCAGUAGGUUGGUCGUGCCACCGGUACGUACUGGUCUCACUGAUUCCUCCUUCCUGAAGAACCGUAAUGCCAUUAAUUUGGUGUUGCGGGGAAACAGGACUGUUACUUUGAAAAAAUUAGAGUGUUUAAAGCAAGCUAACGCUUGAAUACAUUAGCAUGGAAUAAUGAAAUAGGACGAUUGAUCCUCUUUUGUUGGUUUCUAGGAUUGACGUA